UACGUAGGGGGCAAGCGUUGUCCGGAUUUAUUGGGCGUAAAGAGCGUGUAGGCGGCCAGACAGGUCCGUUGUGAAAACUCGAGGCUCAACCUCGAGACGCCGAUGGAAACCGUUUGGCUAGAGUCCGGAAGAGGAGAGUGGAAUUCCUGGUGUAGCGGUGAAAUGCGCAGAUAUCAGGAAGAACACCCGUGGCUAAGGCGGCUCACUGGACCGGAACUGACGCUGAGGCGCGAAAGCGUGGGGAGCAAACAGG
This 253-nucleotide ribosomal RNA is filed under the name uncultured bacterium. Its description in RNAcentral is "partial 16S ribosomal RNA". It matches the Rfam family "Bacterial small subunit ribosomal RNA", at positions 524 to 776 of the family's 1533-position model. The record is from RNAcentral.